This is a small nuclear RNA of Aotus nancymaae (Ma's night monkey), 108 nucleotides long. The record is from Ensembl. NCBI's taxonomy places the organism in Eukaryota, Metazoa, Chordata, Mammalia, Primates, Aotidae.
UUGCUCAUUCUGGCAGCACACACACUAAAAUUGGAAAGAUACAGAGAAGAGUUGCAUAGCCCCUGCACAAGGAUGACACGCAAAAAUAAAAAAUUAUUUUAAAAAAUU